UGAACGCUGGCGGCGUGCUUAACACAUGCAAGUCGAACGGAAAGGCUCCUGCUUGCAGGGGUACUCGAGUGGCGAACGGGUGAGUAACACGUGGGUGAUCUGCCCUGCACUUCGGGAUAAGCCUGGGAAACUGGGUCUAAUACCGGAUAGGACGAUGGUUUGGAUGCCAUUGUGGAAAGUUUUUCGAUGUGGGAUGAGCUCGCGGCCUAUCAGCUUGUUGGUGGGGUAAUGGCCUACCAAGGCGUCGACGGGUAGCCGGCCUGAGAGGGUGUACGGCCACAUUGGGACUGAGAUACGGCCCAGACUCCUACGGGAGGCAGCAGUGGGGAAUAUUGCACAAUGGGCGCAAGCCUGAUGCAGCGACGCCGCGUGGGGGAUGACGGCCUUCGGGUUGUAAACUCCUUUCGCUAGGGACGAAGCGCAAGUGACGGUACCUGGAGAAGAAGCACCGGCUAACUACGUG
Molecule: ribosomal RNA, 463 nt
Filed under: uncultured bacterium
Lineage: Bacteria
Description: partial 16S ribosomal RNA
Rfam family: Bacterial small subunit ribosomal RNA
Source: RNAcentral